Polaribacter atrinae is the source of this 85-nucleotide regulatory RNA element. NCBI's taxonomy places the organism in Bacteria, Pseudomonadati, Bacteroidota, Flavobacteriia, Flavobacteriales, Flavobacteriaceae. The record is from Rfam.
AUUUUAGAGGAAAAAUUUGAACUGAUUGCAACCUCUGACGCUGAUAUUUAUAUCUGCUGAAACAAAAAAUGCUAAAGCAGUAAUA